Long non-coding RNA from Sinocyclocheilus anshuiensis, 363 nucleotides. RefSeq lists it as uncharacterized. NCBI's taxonomy places the organism in Eukaryota, Metazoa, Chordata, Actinopteri, Cypriniformes, Cyprinidae. The transcript is spliced from 3 exons. The record is from RefSeq and is a predicted model, not a curated record.
AUCGCUUUCAGCAGGUUAGUUGUUCUCUCCCGGGCAGGAUAGGCUGGAGUUCUUAUCAGUAAAGAAUGUUCAGCUGGCCGAUGAACAUUUGACAGACGUGUAGGAGAACCUGUGCACUGCAUUCAGUCAAUUGCUGUGGAGUAACAUUUCUGGGACAUGAUAUGAACAGUGAAGACCGGAUUCAUUCACUGGGUGUUUUCUGUCUGGAAAACUGUCAAGACUGCUGAGAGCAUACGGGAAACAGCGAUGGACAGGCGGAUGAUCUGCAAUGGCCUCCACUAAUGGCUUCAAGAAGGAAUUAAUAUCAUUCUUUCACACCGGUGACCCGCGCUUGCCGCAACUUUGUCAAAACACACUCAAGCG